CUUAUAUCUAAUUAAAAUUUAAUAUAGUUAUUUAUUUGUAAAGUUAUAUUGUGUCAUAUUCUUUCUUUGUUAUUUUAUAUCACUUUCCAAGUAGAGAUUACUAAGCAGCAGAGAAUUAGAAUAUUCAUCAUACAGUAUGCAUAUCCCAAUGGAGUUAGCCAUAGGGGAAAGGAUGAGUUCAACAAAUUGGGCCCAGAGUUUAAUAUUUUUUACAUGUAGGAUUUGGAAACUUGACCUGGAUCUAUCUGGUAGUAAGCCACCACUUUACUAUAUAGCCAUCCAACCAAUUAUUAUAUCAUAUUCUACUAUGUUUGACUGUACAGCACAAUACGAAAAUGUGAGGAAUAUGAUUUUAUUAGUUUCCCUAAGGAUAGCAAAUAUCAAGAUAAAUGGAUUUUGUUUAUACUUAGGUAUUGUGGAUACUACAAUAUACAUGC
This 437-nucleotide long non-coding RNA is filed under the name Androctonus crassicauda. Lineage: Eukaryota; Metazoa; Arthropoda; Arachnida; Scorpiones; Buthidae. The record is from RNAcentral.